CGGGGGAUGGCUCAGUUUGGAUUAGAGCACAUGGUUUGGGACCAUGGGGUCGUGGGUUCGAGUCCCACUCCCCCGA
RNAcentral lists this transfer RNA (76 nucleotides) under Candidatus Omnitrophota bacterium. RNAcentral's name for it is "Candidatus Omnitrophica bacterium tRNA-Pro". It matches the Rfam family "tRNA". Rfam says of the family: Transfer RNA (tRNA) molecules are approximately 80 nucleotides in length. Their secondary structure includes four short double-helical elements and three loops (D, anti-codon, and T loops). Further hydrogen bonds mediate the characteristic L-shaped molecular structure. tRNAs have two regions of fundamental functional importance: the anti-codon, which is responsible for specific mRNA codon recognition, and the 3' end, to which the tRNAs corresponding amino acid is attached (by aminoacyl-tRNA synthetases). tRNAs cope with the degeneracy of the genetic code in two manners: having more than one tRNA (with a specific anti-codon) for a particular amino acid; and 'wobble' base-pairing, i.e. permitting non-standard base-pairing at the 3rd anti-codon position. Lineage: Bacteria; Pseudomonadati; Candidatus Omnitrophota. The record is from RNAcentral.